UACGGGGGGAGCAAGCGUUGUUCGGAUUUACUGGGCGUAAAGGGCGCGUAGGCGGCUUGUCAAGUCACUUGUGAAAUCUCUGGGCUUAACCCAGAACGGCCAAGUGAAACUGACAUGCUAGAGUGCAGAAGGGGCAAUCGGAAUUCUUGGUGUAGCGGUGAAAUGCGUAGAUAUCAAGAGGAACCCCUGAGGUGAAGACGGGUUGCUGGGCUGACACUGACGCUGAGGCGCGAAAGCCAGGGGAGCAAACGGG
Molecule: ribosomal RNA, 253 nt
Filed under: uncultured bacterium
Lineage: Bacteria
Description: partial 16S ribosomal RNA
Rfam family: Bacterial small subunit ribosomal RNA
Source: RNAcentral